UACGAAGGGGGCUAGAGUUGCUCGGAAUCACUGGGCGUAAAGGGCGCGUAGGCGGCCAUUCAAGUCAGAGGUGAAAGCCCAAGGCUCAACCUUGGAACUGCCUUUGAUACUGUUUGGCUUGAGACCGGUAGAGGUAAGUGGAACUGCGAGUGUAGAGGUGAAAUUCGUAGAUAUUCGCAAGAACACCAGUGGCGAAGGCGGCUUACUGGACCGGUUCUGACGCUGAGGCGCGAAAGCGUGGGGAGCAAACAGG
RNAcentral lists this ribosomal RNA (253 nucleotides) under uncultured bacterium. RNAcentral's name for it is "partial 16S ribosomal RNA". It matches the Rfam family "Bacterial small subunit ribosomal RNA", at positions 524 to 776 of the family's 1533-position model. The record is from RNAcentral.